Molecule: long non-coding RNA, 231 nt
Organism: Glossina fuscipes
Lineage: Eukaryota; Metazoa; Arthropoda; Insecta; Diptera; Glossinidae
Exons: 3
Source: RefSeq, a predicted model, not a curated record
UUGUGAAUGAAGUGGAACGCAUCUCCCCGAAAAAAUGCGAAAACCUCGAUUAUGGGAAGACUUACCUCCACGGAUUGACCAAAAUGCGUAUCAAUCAGAAGCUCUUUGAUUUUUCUCUGGACGUAGAUGGUGAGCUCAUCUACGUGCAUAAACUUGCACUCGCGAUUGCCUCUGAUUACUUCGCCGCGAUGUUUGAAGCUGAUAUGAAGGAGAGGAAGGAAGGGACUGUCA